UACGUAGGGUGCGAGCGUUGCCCGGAUUUAUUGGGCGUAAAGGGCGCGUAGGCGGCCACGCACGUCCGUUGUGAAAUCGCCCGGCUCAACUGGGCGGGGUCAGCAGAUACGGUGUGGCUCGAGCAAGCUAGGGGGCAAUGGAAUUCCCGGUGUAGUGGUGGAAUGCGUAGAUAUCGGGAGGAACACCAGUGGCGAAGGCGGUUGCCUGGAGCUUUGCUGACGCUGAGGCGCGAAAGCGUGGGGAGCGAGUCCGG
This 254-nucleotide ribosomal RNA is filed under the name uncultured bacterium. RNAcentral describes it as "partial 16S ribosomal RNA". It matches the Rfam family "Bacterial small subunit ribosomal RNA", at positions 524 to 777 of the family's 1533-position model. The record is from RNAcentral.